UAGGAAGUCAAGACUCAUGAGUGA
RNAcentral lists this non-coding RNA (24 nucleotides) under Arabidopsis thaliana (thale cress). Lineage: Eukaryota; Viridiplantae; Streptophyta; Magnoliopsida; Brassicales; Brassicaceae. The record is from RNAcentral.